AAGUCGUAACAAGGUUUCCGUAGGUGAACCUGCGGAAGGAUCAUUAUUGAAGCUCGGAAUGCAUGUCCGGUGUUGAUGCUGCCCAGCAAUGGGAUGUGCUCGCUCGGACGUGUGUCCCUUCUCUAUUCCACCCCUUUGUGAACCAAGUGUGCGAGCCGAAGAGAGAUCGGAAGCUUGCAUGCAAACCUUAACAUACCCCAAUGAAGUAUCAGAAUGUAACUUGCGUUAACUCGCACAAAUAUAACUUUCAACAACGGAUCUCUUGGCUCUC
Molecule: unclassified non-coding RNA, 271 nt
Filed under: Peniophora incarnata
Lineage: Eukaryota; Fungi; Basidiomycota; Agaricomycetes; Russulales; Peniophoraceae
Description: partial internal transcribed spacer region
Rfam family: Eukaryotic small subunit ribosomal RNA (bases 1-46)
Source: RNAcentral